CACGAAGUUAGCCGGGGCUUCUUCUGUAGGUACCGUCAUUAUCUUCCCUACUGAAAGAGCUUUACAACCCUAAGGCCUUCAUCACUCACGCGGCAUGGCUGGAUCAGGCUUGCGCCCAUUGUCCAAUAUUCCCCACUGCUGCCUCCCGUAGGAGUCUGGGCCGUGUCUCAGUCCCAGUGUGGCUGAUCAUCCUCUCAGACCAGCUAAAGAUCGUCGCCUUGGUAGGCCAUUACCCCACCAACUAGCUAAUCUUACGCGGGCUCAUCUAAUUCCGAUAAAUCUUUCCCCCGUAGGGCGUAUACGGUAUUAGCAGUCGUUUCCAACUGUUGUUCCGUAGAACUAGGUAGAUUCCCACGCGUUACUCACCCGUCUGCCACUCCCCUUGCGGGGCGUUCGACUUGCAUGUGUUAAGCCUGCCGCCAGCGUUCGUUCUGAGCCAGGAUCAAACUCU
RNAcentral lists this ribosomal RNA (451 nucleotides) under uncultured Devosia sp. RNAcentral's name for it is "partial 16S ribosomal RNA". Lineage: Bacteria; Pseudomonadati; Pseudomonadota; Alphaproteobacteria; Hyphomicrobiales; Devosiaceae. The record is from RNAcentral.